GAUGAACGCUGGCGGCGUGCCUAAUACAUGCAAGUCGAGCGAACGGACGAGAAGCUUGCUUCUCUGAUGUUAGCGGCGGACGGGUGAGUAACACGUGGAUAACCUACCUAUAAGACUGGGAUAACUUCGGGAAACCGGAGCUAAUACCGGAUAAUAUUUUGAACCGCAUGGUUCAAAAGUGAAAGACGGUCUUGCUGUCACUUAUAGAUGGAUCCGCGCUGCAUUAGCUAGUUGGUAAGGUAACGGCUUACCAAGGCAACGAUGCAUAGCCGACCUGAGAGGGUGAUCGGCCACACUGGAACUGAGACACGGUCCAGACUCCUACGGGAGGCAGCAGUAGGGAAUCUUCCGCAAUGGGCGAAAGCCUGACGGAGCAACGCCGCGUGAGUGAUGAAGGUCUUCGGAUCGUAAAACUCUGUUAUUAGGGAAGAACAUAUGUGUAAGUAACUGUGCACAUCUUGACGGUACCUAAUCAGAAAGCCACGGCUAACUACGUGCCAGCAGCCCCGGUUAUACGUAGGUGGCAAGCGUUAUCCGGAAUUAUGGGCGUAAAGCCGCGCGUAGGCGGUUUUUUAAGUCUGAUGUGAAGCCCCACGGCUCAACCGUGGAGGGUCAUUGGAAACUGGAAAACUUGAGUGCAGAAGAGGAAAGUGGAAUUCCAUGUGUAGCGGUGAAAUGCGCAGAGAUAUGGAGGAACACCAGUGGCGAAGGCGACUUUCUGGUCUGUAACUGACGCUGAUGUGCGAAAGCGUGGGGAUCAAACAGGAUUAGAUACCCUGGUAGUCCACGCCGUAAACGAUGAGUGCUAAGUGUUAGGGGGGUUCCGCCCCUUAGUGCUGCAGCUAACGCAUUAAGCACUCCGCCUGGGGAGUACGACCGCAAGGUUGAAACUCAAAGGAAUUGACGGGGACCCGCACAAGCGGUGGAGCAUGUGGUUUAAUUCGAAGCAACGCGAAGAACCUUACCAAAUCUUGACAUCCUUUGACAACUCUAGAGAUAGAGCCUUCCCCUUCGGGGGACAAAGUGACAGGUGGUGCAUGGUUGUCGUCAGCUCGUGUCGUGAGAUGUUGGGUUAAGUCCCGCAACGAGCGCAACCCUUAAGCUUAGUUGCCAUCAUUAAGUUGGGCACUCUAAGUUGACUGCCGGUGACAAACCGGAGGAAGGUGGGGAUGACGUCAAAUCAUCAUGCCCCUUAUGAUUUGGGCUACACACGUGCUACAAUGGACAAUACAAAGGGCAGCGAAACCGCGAGGUCAAGCAAAUCCCAUAAAGUUGUUCUCAGUUCGGAUUGUAGUCUGCAACUCGACUACAUGAAGCUGGAAUCGCUAGUAAUCGUAGAUCAGCAUGCUACGGUGAAUACGUUCCCGGGUCU
Molecule: ribosomal RNA, 1372 nt
Filed under: uncultured bacterium
Lineage: Bacteria
Description: bacterial SSU rRNA
Rfam family: Bacterial small subunit ribosomal RNA
Source: RNAcentral